Molecule: ribosomal RNA, 1044 nt
Filed under: Triticum aestivum (bread wheat)
Lineage: Eukaryota; Viridiplantae; Streptophyta; Magnoliopsida; Poales; Poaceae
Description: partial small subunit ribosomal RNA
Source: RNAcentral
AUGCCUUUCUUGGUCGUCGCGCCAUCUGGAAACCAUAUGGGGGUGCCCUGCUCCCCGAAGGUACGUGUGUUUGCGUGGAGAAUUGUUACCAACUCCCUUGCCACUUGGGCCAACAAAUGCUCUAGACGACUUGAGGUGACUGAUAUUUGUCCCCUAUGUGGUAUGGAACGAGAGGAUUGCUUCCAUGCUCUGUGUAGGUGCACCCUGGCGAAGGAGUCGUGGCAUGCCAUGGCUAGGGACCGGAAUAUCCCAAGAGUGGAGGAGGUGGCGAACACGGGGCCGGAGUGGCUCUUCUCGCUCCUGGAGCCGCUUGAUGAGGACACACGCAUGAUUGUCCUGAUGACGUUGUGGCGUGUAUGGCACGUCCGCAACGAGAUCACCCACGAGAAGAAGCCUCCACCAACCGAAGCAUCCAGGCGAUUCCUCCAGGGCUACAUCAACUCCUUGUUGUGCAUCAAGCAACACCCUAAAGCUGACAUGGAGAAGGGGAAGAUGGUCGUCCUAGGGCCUCAGCAGCGCUCCGCUGCUCGUGCGGCUCCGAAGGAGGACAGGAGAUGGGUACCACCUGGGAGGGCGAGCACCAAACUGAACACCGACGGGAGCUAUGACCCGGCGACAGGCGCAGCAGGUGGAGGGAUGAUCCUCCGUGAUGAACUUGGGCAGAUCAUCUUCACGGCAUGCAGGGAGCUCCGAGCAUGUGAUAACGCUCUUGCAGCUGAACUUGAGGCGUGUAAGGAGGGGCUGGACUUGGCGCUGCACAGGACCGACCGGCCGAUCGUCGUCGAGAUGGACUCUAUGGAGGCGGUGGCCAUGUGCACGGCCGCUUCGAUUGAUCGCUCUGUCCAUCGCAGCCUCGUGCAGGAUAUCAAAAGACUGGCAGCCACAGAGGGACGGAAGGUCCAUUUUUCUCAUUGUAGUCGUUCUCAGAAUAAAGUGAGUCAUGAACUUGCGUCUUAUGAUCGUCGCACACCCCGUACUGCUGUAUGGUUCCAUUCAGGGACGGAUGCCAUUGUAAACUUGGUGAUGGCUGAAUUGCCACCUUGA